UGUGAUUGAAAUAAAUUCUAGUUUUAUUGGUUUGCUGAAGUUCUGUCCCAUCGUGUUACAUUGAAACGUGUUGAGAAACACUCCUAGUGAUCCUAGUGGGUUACAUUUCUGAGGAAUACUUAAAAAAACAACAACCAGGAUGGUGGUUUGUCUCGUUAUAAACCUUGUAAAGUAAAAAUCCCAGGAGAGGAAGGUGAAGCCACACCAGAACUACAGUAUGUGAGUGUAAAACUGACAGCAGUAGACACUGUAAACCAUGGUAAUGCACUGAACUUUUUAUCUCAGCCUAUUAGAUGCUCAUCCCGCAACCCCCUAAUGCUUAAAUUCAAAGAGUUUCUCUAAGUCAGGCUUAUUAAAUUAGCACUGGAGGCUCUCUAGGAUCCAGAAUCAGUUCUGUGAGGUGCUAUAUGCAGUGUUUGAAAAGGUUAACGCCACAAAUCCAGCUUUCAGAUGACUAGUUUUCACAAGAAUUGCCAAUUUCUUUUCAAAGUCUUUGCCCUGAAAAGAAUUCAAAAUAUGCUAUAAUCACAUAAAGUCCACAUGAUCUCAGUCCAGGCUUUCAAUGCCAGAAAGCAUCCAUCAUGAAGAGCCUCUACCCUGAGGCUGACCUCCGACCUCCUCUGGAACGAGCCAAGAGACAGAUGUCAGGCUUUACUAAAACAUCUGGAAAAAAGAGAAACUGUGGAUCUACUUCCCAAAUGAGCAGAUGGACGGUUAAAAAAAAGACUAAAAAUACAGAACGGAGGGUUACAGAAUAGGACACAGCCAAGGUGUGACAGCGAGGUUAGACAUCCAAAGUAGGUCAGAUUUCAAGAUGUAAUGGAAAUCCAGCUACUAAUCUGAUCCAGGGGUGUGGAUUAUGCCCUCCUUCCCUCUUUCCAGGGUCACAUACAUGAGCUGUCAGAACAAUACUGAGUGGGUGAUUCAAGUAAAAACAAACACACAUUAAGACAGCGAAAAAAAAAUCAUUUAGUUCUGCCAUUGAAGCAUUAAAACAUCCAGUUGAAGUGAUUUCCUAUCUUUGCUUCUGAUGGAGAGCGUCCAUGGAGCAUCGAGGCAGCGGAGUCGGUCACGUGACCCCGAAACCGGGAAUCAAACGGCGGCCCCCGGCAUAUCGAAAGCAGCUGUUUUAAAUAUUUCCCGCAGUCCCGCUGAGUUGCAAGAUGUGCCUGGAGCGUCAGCAAAAUCCCUGUUACUGGUACAUUCAUCAGAGCCGCUCAGACAAUCCAACAAGUUGUCAUGUGGCCUGUAUUUUUCAAAGAGUGGUGUAUUUCUU
This is a long non-coding RNA of Amphiprion ocellaris (clown anemonefish), 1276 nucleotides long. NCBI's taxonomy places the organism in Eukaryota, Metazoa, Chordata, Actinopteri, Pomacentridae. The record is from Ensembl.